RNAcentral lists this ribosomal RNA (219 nucleotides) under uncultured Microbacterium sp. RNAcentral's name for it is "partial 16S ribosomal RNA". Lineage: Bacteria; Bacillati; Actinomycetota; Actinomycetes; Micrococcales; Microbacteriaceae. The record is from RNAcentral.
GCUCAUCCCUGGACCGGAAAUUCUUUCCAGCUGCUGAAGAUGCCUUCGCAGCUCGUAUCCAGUAUUAGACGCCGUUUCCAGCGCUUAUCCCAGAGUCAGGGGCAGAUUGCUCACGUGUUACUCACCCGUUCGCCACUGAUCCAGCAGAGCAAGCUCCGCCUUCACCGUUCGACUUGCAUGUGUUAAGCACGCCGCCAGCGUUCAUCCUGAGCCAUGAUC